UCCGUAGGUGAACCUGCGGAAGGAUCAUUGGUU
This 33-nucleotide ribosomal RNA is filed under the name Thanatephorus cucumeris. Its description in RNAcentral is "partial 18S ribosomal RNA". The record is from RNAcentral. Lineage: Eukaryota; Fungi; Basidiomycota; Agaricomycetes; Cantharellales; Ceratobasidiaceae.